GAUGACUAGCAGUCAGAGGUGAGAAGAGGAUUUUUACUUUUUCAUGCUUGUGGAACUUAAAUUUUUGUACCAGGAAUUACAACUAAAUCAAGUACAAAAGCAAACAUGUCUGAAAUAUCAGUGGGCCUCGAAGCAGGUCUACUUUCCAGACUCAGUGGCGGGGUCAAGAGCUGCCUGAGAUACAACACAGAAGGGUGAACCUGUGCAAAGCCUUGCCCAUAUGCUGGGUAGGGUUCCCCGGAAGUCUUAAUGAAAGAGGCAGAACAGUUCUACUCUCUGAGAAGCCACUCAACCAAUGGAAGGGAAGAAUGAAGAAAACGGAGGAGAGGGACAGAGGGAAGGAGCCAGGGAGUUCCUGUGUGGAGGUUGAUCUGGUCUCUAAGUCCUUUUCUUCCCUGUUGAAGAGGAUGUUGUCGAGAGCCAGGACCAGUGCCCAGUGACCUCCUCCACCGUGUCAGAGGGCUCAUCCACCUUCCCCAGACCCACUUUUCGACUCCUGCAAACCAGAACAGGCCACAGGCUGUGAAUAAAUACUUCAGAGAAGAACGAGAGAAAACUACAGUCGUAACAAAUGGGUCACUGCUGAGAGACAUGGGUUAGGACACAGUAGCUGUACCUGAGAUGAGCAAGCUCUAUGGCUGUCCUUACUAUCAUGAAAACCAGCUGGUACGUGACAGAUGCAAUUUUAUCAGCUCAAAUCCUAUAAUUCUUUCUUUCAACAGUGAGC
Suricata suricatta (meerkat) is the source of this 727-nucleotide long non-coding RNA. RefSeq lists it as uncharacterized. Lineage: Eukaryota; Metazoa; Chordata; Mammalia; Carnivora; Herpestidae. The record is from RefSeq and is a predicted model, not a curated record. The transcript has 4 exons.